CUGCCCUUUGUACACACCGCCCGUCGCUACUACCGAUUGAAUGGCUCAGUGAGGCCUCCGGACUGGCCCAGAGAGGUGGGCAACUACCACUCAGGGCCGGAAAGUUGUCCAAACUCGGUCAUUUAGAGGAAGUAAAAGUCGUAACAAGGUCUCCGUUGGUGAACCAGCGGAGGGAUCAUUA
This 181-nucleotide ribosomal RNA is filed under the name Scedosporium apiospermum. Its description in RNAcentral is "partial 18S ribosomal RNA". It matches the Rfam family "Eukaryotic small subunit ribosomal RNA", at positions 1653 to 1831 of the family's 1831-position model. Lineage: Eukaryota; Fungi; Ascomycota; Sordariomycetes; Microascales; Microascaceae. The record is from RNAcentral.